GAUCCUGGCUCAGGAUGAACGCUAGCGAUAGGCUUAACACAUGCAAGUCGAGGGGCAGCAUGAUUUGUAGCAAUACAGAUUGAUGGCGACCGGCGCACGGGUGAGUAACGCGUAUGCAACUUACCUAUAAGAGGGGGAUAGCCCGGCGAAAGUCGGAUUAAUACCCCAUAAAACAGGGGUCCCGCAUGGGAAUAUUUGUUAAAGAUUCAUCGCUGAUAGAUAGGCAUGCGUUCCA
RNAcentral lists this ribosomal RNA (235 nucleotides) under uncultured bacterium. RNAcentral's name for it is "partial 16S ribosomal RNA". It matches the Rfam family "Bacterial small subunit ribosomal RNA", at positions 15 to 240 of the family's 1533-position model. The record is from RNAcentral.